AUGGCUCCUUGGUCAAGCGGUUAAGACACCGCCCUUUCACGGCGGUAACACGGGUUCGAGUCCCGUAGGCCGUA
Molecule: transfer RNA, 74 nt
Filed under: Staphylococcus argenteus
Lineage: Bacteria; Bacillati; Bacillota; Bacilli; Caryophanales; Staphylococcaceae
Description: tRNA-Glu
Rfam family: tRNA
About the family: Transfer RNA (tRNA) molecules are approximately 80 nucleotides in length. Their secondary structure includes four short double-helical elements and three loops (D, anti-codon, and T loops).
Source: RNAcentral